This is a non-coding RNA of Pyronema omphalodes CBS 100304, 73 nucleotides long. The record is from Rfam. NCBI's taxonomy places the organism in Eukaryota, Fungi, Ascomycota, Pezizomycetes, Pezizales, Pyronemataceae.
GGUUGCAUAGUGUAGUGGUUACUACGUUUGUUUUAUAUGCGAAGGUUUGCUAGUUUAAGCUUGGUUGUAAUCA